This 1070-nucleotide ribosomal RNA is filed under the name Clostridioides difficile. RNAcentral's name for it is "bacterial LSU rRNA". It matches the Rfam family "Bacterial large subunit ribosomal RNA", at positions 1325 to 2403 of the family's 2925-position model. The record is from RNAcentral. Lineage: Bacteria; Bacillati; Bacillota; Clostridia; Peptostreptococcales; Peptostreptococcaceae.
GAAUCCCACAGGCCGUAAACCCAAGGUUUCCAGGGGAAGGUUCGUCCGCCCUGGGUUAGUCGGGACCUAAGCUGAGGCCGAAAGGCGUAGGUGAUGGACAACAGGUUGAUAUUCCUGUACUACCGAUAACCGUUUGAGAGAAGGGAUGACACAGUAGGAUAAGCUAAGCACACUGUUGGUUAUGUGUGCCCAAGCAUUGAGGCAGUCAAAGUAGGCAAAUCCGCUUUGAUAAUGCUGGGAUGUGAUGGGGAGCGAAAUUUAGUAGCGAAGUAGCUGAUUUCACACUGUCAAGAAAAGUCUCUAUCGAGGUUAAAGGUACCCGUACCGCAAACCGACACAGGUGGGUGAGGAGAGUAUCCUAAGGCCAGCGAGAGAACUGUUGUUAAGGAACUCGGCAAAAUGACCCCGUAACUUAGGGAUAAGGGGUGCCACCAUCAGGUGGCCGCAGAGAAUAGGCCCAAGCGACUGUUUACCAAAAACAUAGGUUUCUGCUAAGUCGCAAGACGAUGUAUAGGAGCUGACGCCUGCCCGGUGCUGGAAGGUUAAGGGGAUCUGUUAGAGCAAUCGAAGCAGUGAACUUAAGCCCCAGUAAACGGCGGCCGUAACUAUAACGGUCCUAAGGUAGCGAAAUUCCUUGUCGGGUAAGUUCCGACCCGCACGAAAGGCGUAACGAUUUGGGCACUGUCUCAACAACAGACUCGGUGAAAUUGUAAUUCCGGUGAAGAUGCCGGAUACCUGCGACAGGACGGAAAGACCCCAUGGAGCUUUACUGUAGCUUGACAUUGGGUCUUGGUACUACAUGUACAGGAUAGGUGGGAGGCUUUGAAACCAGGACGCCAGUUUUGGCGGAGCCAUCCUUGGGAUACCACCCUUGUAGUACUGGGACUCUAACCAUAGGCCAUGAAUCUGGUCUUGGGACACUGUCAGGUGGGCAGUUUGACUGGGGCGGUCGCCUCCCAAAAGGUAACGGAGGCGCUCAAAGGUUCUCUCAGUACGGUCGGAAAUCGUACGUAGAGUGUAAAGGCAAAAGAGAGCUUGAUUGCAAGACAUACAGGUCGAGCAAGGAUGAA